AAAACAUAUGAUAACAUGGAAUGCAUCACAUCACAGCUAAUCACAUCAAGGAUGAACCUGUCACCACUAGCCCUCUAUAUGGUCCAACUGUGCCAGAACAUAGAAUGGGUCCUGGUCUUUCCCUUACAUAUCAUAACAUAACAGUGUCCAACUGUGCCAGAACGUAGAAUGGGUCCUGGUCUUUCCCUUACAUAGUGCCAGCGAACGUAGAAUGGGUCCCACUGGUCUUACAUUCCGU
RNAcentral lists this long non-coding RNA (238 nucleotides) under Manihot esculenta (cassava). Its description in RNAcentral is "long non-coding RNA (MESC_LNC010018)". Lineage: Eukaryota; Viridiplantae; Streptophyta; Magnoliopsida; Malpighiales; Euphorbiaceae. The record is from RNAcentral.